Hydra vulgaris (swiftwater hydra) is the source of this 4218-nucleotide non-coding RNA. The record is from RefSeq and is a predicted model, not a curated record. NCBI's taxonomy places the organism in Eukaryota, Metazoa, Cnidaria, Hydrozoa, Anthoathecata, Hydridae.
UAACUUAAAACAAAUGCCUGUUAUUUUGAAUUUACACAAAAAAUAGAUCAACAUUAAAAUCUGUUUAUGUUAUAUUUAACACCCAAAAUCUGCCCAUUAGAUACUUGUUUUGAACUUUUUUAACAAACUACUAUUUUAACAGUCGCACAAAUACCAUCACAGAAAGAUUUGUUGUAGCUGGUAGCAAAAAAUACUCAUUCAGCAUUUAAAUCAAAGUCUAUGCUGCGAUAAGAUAAAUUGAAAGAUAAGUUUUGAAAGUUUUAAAGUUACAUUGCACAGCCAUCAGAAAAAUACUUCCACGUGAUACAAAAAAACCAUGUGUCAUGAUUAUAUUCUUCUGAAAGAAACAUUUACUAAACAAAAGCAAACAUAUAGGAAGAGUCAGAAAUUGCGAUCCUGGAGAUUAUCCCAUAGAUGUUCAGCAAGCUUUGGAAAGAUCUAUAGAGUUUUAUGAAGGCUGCUAAUGGCUAGAGAGUUUAAUGACUAGACUGCAUUUAGUAACCAUGGUAAUGCUCAUGUUUUUCUUUGAGAAUUUCAAAUAGCUGUACAAUAUUACUUGUGAGAAAAUUUCAAACAUAAAUUUUUAAUCAGAGGCAAGAUGGAAAGAAAUAGUUUAAUAUGUUUCUAUCUGCAAUCUGGGAAGAUUAUGCCAAUAGUUAUUUAUAUUAUUACAAAUUAACAAUAUUAACACAAAGACACAUUAUAACACUCAAUAUGGAAAACAUGCAAGUUUUUCAGGAUCUGCUGCAUAUUUUAUUGGAACACUAUUUAACAUUAAAGUAUGUAAGAAUCAGCUAAUUAAUAAUAAUGGCGAUGUUGUCAGCAUAUUUGUUGUAAAUCUAAAUGGAUUAUUAUGAUGGAAUAAUGAGGAAAUCUUACUAAAUGUUUCAACAAUUAUUAACUCAUUGGUGCCUGAAGAUUAAACCAUGGUUUUACGAAAAUACACAAAGUAUGGUGAAAUUACGUGAAGGAUGGCGAAAUAAGAAGAUUGCACCAUUUUGUGUUUAGUUUAAGUUUUCAUUCACUACAUGACACAUCUAUUAUAAACUGUUAAUAAUUUCUUAUAGCUAAAUAAUUAAAAAUAGUUAAAAUAACAUUAACUUUUCAGAAAGAAAUGGGUCCAAAAAAGAAUAAAAAUGCGCAUAUAAGUGAGAGUGUCAGACGACCAUUAUAUCUGUUAACAAUCCCAAUUUCACAGCUACCAAAUACACAGCUUCCAACCAAUGGUAGUAUUUUAAGAUAUUAUCAAUAUCUAAUUUCAAGUAAGAAGAAAAGAUUUAUCAAAACACAAAUUAACAUGGCCUGUAAGAAGCAAAAAGGAACAAGAAACUUGGUAUGCAAAGAGAUUUUUGUGACCUUGAGGCGCAAUCAAACUGCUUAAUUAGACAAAUAGUCAACAUUUGGACCAAAGCAGGAUUUGAAGCAUACAUCAUUACAGAAUAUUCAAUUCUUGACAAUUUCAAGCUCUACACAAGAAGUAUCAAUUUUUGAAAAAAUGUGUUACUCUGAAAGAUAUCAAAGAUACUAGAGAAGAUAUUAAGAAUGAAUUCAUUUCAACAAUGGAACAGUUGUUUGACAUAGGCAAAGAUAACUUAGAGCAACUGAUGAGAAGUGACAAAAUAACACCAAGAACACCAGCUGCUAUUGAAGAAGACAUUUUUUUUAUAGACCAGCAAAUAGACAGGAAGUGGUUUAUUUCUAAGUCAGAUGAAGGGCUAGCUACCAUUAUUGAGAAACCCCAUGAAAGGUAUAAGAGACAAGAACAAUUGAGAAUGAAGUACCUAGAGGAGAAACAAGCUGAAGAAAGAUGUAAAUCAGCUCCUCCACCACUUGAUGAAAUUGAUGAAGACUUGACGCCAACUAAGAAAAGAUACAAAUUUGGUCCAGCCAAUUUGGAUAUGGAUAUGUUUGAUCCAACUUUGACAGAUCAAGAAGACUCAUUAGAAGGUAGUGAUGAUGACUUUGAAUAUAGUGCUGCUCGAGUUAAAACCCCAAAAAUCUUACCUAAAGGCUCAAUGCAAGAUCACAAGAGAAGAACUGAUGGCAGUAACUACACCUAUUUGUGCUAGAGGGUUAAUCAGCAUUAAAAUACAAACCUGGCUGUUGUUGUCUGUUGUUAAUUACCUGGGAGAUGUUAAUCAGAUGGGCAUUUCUAAAUCCAGUAUUUCAAGAGAAAGUCAAAGGUUAUUUCAAUCAGAGAAAAUUAAAGAGAGAUAAUGGCUGGAAAACACCUUGUUCUCCACUGUGAUGGCAAGCUGUUAAAAUAUUUAGAUGAAAAUACCUUGCAAUCUGUCGUAAGAGAUAGUUGCUGUCAGUGUUACCAGCCCUGAUUUUGAAAAAUAAAAAUCUCUUACUUGGUGUUUUACCUGCAGAGUCUGACAAAGCUGUUGAUUAAAUAGAAAUUAUUCACAACUUACUUGAGUCCUUUGAAAUAUGCAAUGAAAUUUUCGCAAUUGUUGCAAAUACUACCAAUGGUUAUACAGGAGCUCAUGCAGGAAUUCUAACCAGAUUGUGCUAUAUUUUGGGAAAACCUGUUCUCUGGCUGUUAUGCAGACAUCACAUGUUUGAAAUAGCAAUACAUAGGGCAAUUGUAAUUGUCCUUGGAGUUACUGCUGCACCACAUCGACAGUUCUAAGAUUUCAAGAAGGACUGGGAAGUAUAUCACGCUAUAGCUCAAAAAGUUGACCUGUUUGAGUUUAAGAAAUUUGAUGAGAAGAAGCUGGAAGUUGAAUCUGAACUUCAUAAGCUUUACCUGGAUGCUCAGGAAUAUCUGAAGUUUGCUCUUAAUUACGAAGUGUUUCCAAGAGAUGAUUACAAUCAUCUAGUAAAGUAUGCUGCAUUUUAUUUAAAUGUCUUAUCACCAAAGCUGAAUGAUUUUGAAAUUCAUCAACCAGGAGCCAAUCACAAUGCUCAUUUUAUGGCUGACAGUCUUUACAAUUUAGCUUUUGUUAUGACAUCAGGCAGCUUCAUUUGAAAAUAGAUAGUGGUUGUUGAAGCAGUAUGAGAUUGAUGACACUAUCCAACUUUUGUGUGAUAUGCUUCAGUCAUCGAAUAUGACUUUGACACAUAAUGCAUCUUUUGCCAUAGCAAGACUGCCUACCCUAACUAAACCCUCAGUUGAUGCAGCCGCACUCUGUUGCAAGUCACGCAAUAAGAUAGUUGAUGUAGCAGCACUUCCUUGUAACAACAGACUAUAAGAUAGUCAAUGUAGCAACACUCCGCGCUUGUUUUACUGUUAAAAUAAAAAAUAAAAAUAAAAAUAUUCAGAAUGUUUUUAAAAACAUGUUUUACGAAUAUUAGAACAUCAAAGUAUGAAAAAGAUGCUGUUUGGUAUUGUUAGCUUUUUAAAGAAUACUCACAAUCAGAUCUUGCUUUGUUUUCACUGUUUUGCAUGGCUCAAGUGUUAUUGUGAAUGGAUAUUUUGCAAGUACUCAUUUGCAAUGUUUUACUCAAGUGAAGGUGCAAAAUGUUCUUUAAAUGAAGUAGUGUUUAAUGACACUCCAUAAUCAGAUUAUUUUACACCCUCACCUCCUCAAUUACAUGUUCAUGGUAAAACAGAGAUUUUUAUUGAGUGGGAUCCUCCUAAAAAUCUUCUUGGCAGAUUAAAUUAUUAUGAACUUAGAAUGGAUAACAUGGUAAUAUAUAGAGGAAUUGACUGCUGUUUUACUGCGCAAGCUCUUCAUCCAACUAAAGUUUAUAGCUUUACAGUUUCAGCUUGGAUGAGUGAGGGUAGAUGCAAAAGUUUACCCAGAACACGUCGAAUCAGCAAGCAAUAUGUAAUUAUAUCUGUAAGAAAUUCUUCCAGUUGUUAUUGGCCCUUGUGAAAAAUUACCAGAUGUAUUUACUUCUAUCUAAAAAUGUUGUUGAUUUUCCAGAAGAUAUUGGAAAGAUGUUGUAAGAGUAAAAAAAAAACACAGAUGAUCUUGGACGAAAUUGCACUGAUGAUCUUGGACUAGUCCACAGAUGUUUUUGGACAGAUGUAGUAAUCUUUUACCCAAAUUUCCAGAAUGCUUUCAGGAGAAAUAGAUGCCAGAGAGCUUAUGAUCUGUCACCAAUAGCUUACCAGUUUAUUCUUUAAUCUUGUGUGAUUUUUAAUUUUUAUGAUCAGGGUUGGGAUCAAAUAUGUAUUUUUUAUUUGAAGUUGUAUUUACAUUUGGUAGUUAUAAGGUAAAUUGGCGUAUUUGUAUUCGUGUUGCAUUUGAUUUAAAAAUUUCUUAA